This 383-nucleotide ribosomal RNA is filed under the name uncultured bacterium. RNAcentral's name for it is "bacterial SSU rRNA". It matches the Rfam family "Bacterial small subunit ribosomal RNA", at positions 28 to 423 of the family's 1533-position model. The record is from RNAcentral.
GACAAACGCUGGCGGCGUGCCUAAAACAUGCAAGUCGAACGGACUCUUCGGAGUCAGUGGCGGACGGCUGAGUAACACGUAGGUGACCUGCCCUUGAGUGGGGAAUAACGGUCCGAAAGGAUCGCUAAUACCGCAUACGACCGCUGCAUUUUGGUGUGGUGAGGAAAGCCGAAAGGCGCUCGAGGAGGGGCCUGCGUCCGAUUAGCUAGUUGGUGGGGUAAAGGCCUACCAAGGCGACGAUCGGAGCUGGUCUAAGAGGAUGAUCAGCCAGACUGGGACUGUGACACGGCCCAGACUCCUACGGGAGGCAGCAGUUAGGAAUCUUGGGCAAUGGGCGAAAGCCUGACCCAGCAACGCCGCGUGGGUGACGAAGGCCUUCGGUC